AGAAAACACACAACGUAAAAAUUAUCGAAUAACAAAUACGUUUUGGAAAAUUUAGAAUAAAACAUGAAAGUACGAAAGUCAAACCAGGAAAAGCCAAAAAAAAACAAAAUAAGAAAAACAAUACAUAGAUCAUUUAAAGCUAAAAAUAGGCUAGCUAAUAAAGUGCCUCGAGCACGCACUUUAAUGCUUAUGGUGGAGAAUGAGAUAAUGUAUAAUAAAAAUAUUAAUGAACAAUUACCUGCACGGGUUAUUGACGAUUCAGAUCCGCCGAAAAGCAAUACACCAGAAUCCGAAACGUAAUGAAUGGGUCGAUUUCCCUAACCACCCAGCCAAUAUUGCCAUAAAAAGAAUUCAUUAGACAUUAGUUGAUCCUUGUUUCCAAAAUUCAAAAAUUGCUGCAUUGCGUUUAAUGCUCUCAUUGCAAAGGACAAUGGAGCAGCGGCAGGAUCUAAAGGACACUAAAGAAAAAAGAACAGCGAACGCUCAAUUUGGAAUCGAACCAAUUAGUUGUCCUUUGUGCUGGCACCUUUGUCGUCUGGAUUUCGCAAAUAUCGUUUUUUUUUUCCCAUGGACCAUGGCCCAUUUGCCACUGUUUUUUCGUUGGCCAUUGCGUGUCCUGUUUCGGAGUAGAGGAUCCUUUUCGUUGGUUUUCUCUACACACUUUUGGAACCGUGGAUAGAGCGCAGCGGGGCGUGCGGUGCAAAGAUCAGAGGAGCGGCCCGCCGCGGGGCGCUCUCAACCGAUGAUCAUUUCGACACCCCAUUUAUGCGGCGUCCUUCGGUUCCAUUUGGCCAGCUACUGUAACCAUACACUGCUAAAAAAAAUUGAUGCAUAUAUGUAUAUGUACGUUUUGCAAAUUUAUUGUUAAUAUAUUAUUAUCAAUCUGAA
This is a non-coding RNA of Drosophila melanogaster (fruit fly), 888 nucleotides long. The record is from Ensembl. Lineage: Eukaryota; Metazoa; Arthropoda; Insecta; Diptera; Drosophilidae.